GACGAAGGUGGCAAGCGUUGUUCGGAAUCACUGGGCUUAAAGGGCGCGUAGGCGGCUCGCCAAGUGUCCUGUGAAAUCCCCCGGCUCAACCGAGGAAUUGCAGGGCAAACUGGCGGGCUUGAGGCAGGUAGGGGCGAGUGGAACUCUUGGUGGAGCGGUGGAAUGCGUAGAUAUCAAGAGGAACGCCGGUGGUGAAGACGACUCGCUGGGCCUGUCCUGACGCUGAGGCGCGAAAGCCAGGGGAG
This 245-nucleotide ribosomal RNA is filed under the name uncultured bacterium. Its description in RNAcentral is "partial 16S ribosomal RNA". It matches the Rfam family "Bacterial small subunit ribosomal RNA", at positions 524 to 768 of the family's 1533-position model. The record is from RNAcentral.